GAUGAACGCUGGCGGCGUGCCUAACACAUGCAAGUCGAGCGAGAUUUUGAGGAGUAGAGACUUCGGUCAAAGCGAGUCAAAUGAAAGCGGCGGACGGGUGAGUAACGCGUGAGCAAUCUGCCCCAUACAAAGGGAUACCCACUGGAAUCGGUGAUUAAUACCUUAUAAGACCACAGAGUCGCAUGGCUCAGGGGUCAAAGAUUUAUCGGUAUGGGAUGAGCUCGCGUCUGAUUAGCUAGUUGGUAAGGUAAUGGCUUACCAAGGCGACGAUCAGUAGCCGACCUGAGAGGGUGAACGGCCACACCGGAACUGAGACACGGUCCAGACUCCUACGGGAGGCAGCAGUGGGGAAUAUUGCACAAUGGGCGCAAGCCUGAUGCAGCAACGCCGCGUGAAUGAUGAAGGCCUUCGGGUCGUAAAGUUCUGUCCAAAGGGAAGAAUACAGUGACGGUACCUUUGGAGGAAGCCCCGGCUAACUACGUGCCAGCCGCCGCAGUAA
RNAcentral lists this ribosomal RNA (499 nucleotides) under uncultured bacterium. RNAcentral describes it as "partial 16S ribosomal RNA". It matches the Rfam family "Bacterial small subunit ribosomal RNA", at positions 28 to 523 of the family's 1533-position model. The record is from RNAcentral.